Molecule: long non-coding RNA, 1050 nt
Filed under: Oryctolagus cuniculus (rabbit)
Lineage: Eukaryota; Metazoa; Chordata; Mammalia; Lagomorpha; Leporidae
Description: lncRNA (ENSOCUG00000031037.1)
Source: RNAcentral
AUGUCAAAAAAACAAACCCCAGUCAGAGAGGACUCAGCCGCUGGCCAAGAGGAUGCCCACAGCUACCCAUCAAGUAGCGAAAUUUCAAAGCCUCAAUCAACAUUGACUGAGAUGGAUGGAGGAGGAGGGGAGUUGAGACGCAAAGACACCAGGCAUAGCUCAAGCUUUCCAGCCCGAGAAGCUGGAAAAACAAGACAGACGAGGGAAGGCACCGAUGUGCAAAGGAUAAAACUCAAAAUUAGCUCUGGACACAUUCCGGGAGGCCAAGCAGCCAUUUCAAAGCAGGGAGCGCGCUCCGCAGGGAGUCCACGGGCUGAAGACAGGCAUCCAAGAAGUUGGCAGGACCGCAGAGGGUAUUUAAAGCGUCAAUCGGGAAUGUCUAGGGAGCGGACAGCCACAGAGAAGAGAUCUGGGAUGCAGCUCUGGGGUGGGACACGCAUUAAAAGCAAAGGGGCGGCCAGCGGGACAAGGGGAGAGGCGUUCCCGCCACGCACGGGCGCUGCUGCUAGAGGCUCUGAGGAGGAAGCGUGCUGGCCCUGGGCGACACACCUGCGCAAACCAGGUGGUUGCAGGUGUCAGGACAGUGGACGGGCUGGCGGGUGCGCUGCCCCACCCUGGCACUGGUUCAGCAAGGAUGCUGCAGUGCGGGCCGCGCCCCUCGCCUCGCCCGGCCGCACCUGGCCGAGCACCGCACCUGCGCGCGCCGCGGCUCCCCACUCUCGCGCCCCGGGGCCCGAGGGCGCACGCGCAGACCCCACGCCGCCCGGCCGCGGGCCCCGCCGCCACGGCCGCGAGCCGAACCCCGCCUCUCCCGCCCAGGGCGCGUGCGCGCCGCCCCCCACCGAGCGCCCCCUCAGACGAAGCCGGGACGGGGGACGGGGGCGCGCAGGAAGGACCCGGUGCCCUGGUUCCCGAGCCUCUCCGGCGGCCGCGGGCCUGACCCAUGCCCACCUGCCGAGUCCCGGGCGAAGUAACCUCGGCGCGCUGGAAACAGCGACGGAGAAACAGGCGCGGUCCCUCGAACGCUUUUUCCGAGCCUGCGGAUGCUAA